UACGGAGGAUGCGAGCGUUAUCCGGAUUUAUUGGGUUUAAAGGGAGCGUAGACGGGAUGUUAAGUCAGCUGUGAAAGUUUGGGGCUCAACCUUAAAAUUGCAGUUGAAACUGGCAUUCUUGAGUGCGGCAGAGGCAGGCGGAAUUCGUGGUGUAGCGGUGAAAUGCUUAGAUAUCACGAAGAACUCCGAUUGCGAAGGCAGCUUGCUAAACUGUAACUGACGUUCAUGCUCGAAAGUGUGGGUAUCAAACAGG
Molecule: ribosomal RNA, 253 nt
Filed under: uncultured bacterium
Lineage: Bacteria
Description: partial 16S ribosomal RNA
Rfam family: Bacterial small subunit ribosomal RNA
Source: RNAcentral